AGAUAGUUUCUUAAAUUUGAUGC
RNAcentral lists this non-coding RNA (23 nucleotides) under Arabidopsis thaliana (thale cress). The record is from RNAcentral. Lineage: Eukaryota; Viridiplantae; Streptophyta; Magnoliopsida; Brassicales; Brassicaceae.